Molecule: ribosomal RNA, 900 nt
Filed under: Xenoanthostomella calami
Lineage: Eukaryota; Fungi; Ascomycota; Sordariomycetes; Xylariales; Gyrothricaceae
Description: Xenoanthostomella sp. SK-2022a partial large subunit ribosomal RNA
Rfam family: Eukaryotic large subunit ribosomal RNA
Source: RNAcentral
UAGCAUAUCAAUAAGCGGAGGAAAAGAAACCAACAGGGAUUGCCUCAGUAACGGCGAGUGAAGCGGCAACAGCUCAAAUUUGAAAUCUGGCCUUCUGGUCCGAAUUGUAAUUUGUAGAGGACGCUUUUGGUGCGGUACCUUCCGAGUUCCCUGGAACGGGACGCCUUAGAGGGUGAGAGCCCCGUACGGUUGGAUACCUAGCCUCUGUAUAGCUCCUUCGACGAGUCGAGUAGUUUGGGAAUGCUGCUCUAAAUGGGAGGUAAAUUUCUUCUAAAGCUAAAUACCGGCCAGAGACCGAUAGCGCACAAGUAGAGUGAUCGAAAGAUGAAAAGUACUUUGAAAAGAGGGUUAAAUAGCACGUGAAAUUGUUGAAAGGGAAGCGCUUAUGACCAGACCUUUGCCUGGCGGAUCAUCCGGUGUUCUCACCGGUGCACUUCGCCAGGUCGAGGCCAGCGUCGAUUUUUGGAGGGGGAUAAAGGCUUCGGGAAUGUGACUCCUCCGGGAGUGUUAUAGCCCGUUGCGUAAUACCCUUCCGGGGAUCGAGGUUCGCGCUCUGCAAGGACGCUGGCGUAAUGGUCAUCAGUGACCCGUCUUGAAACACGGACCAAGGAGUCGAACAUUUGUGCGAGUGUUUGGGUGUUAAACCCUCACGCGUAAUGAAAGUGAACGGAGGUGAGAGCCCUUACGGGUGCAUCAUCGACCGAUCCUGAAGUCUUCGGAUGGAUUUGAGUAAGAGCAUAACUGUUCGGACCCGAAAGAUGGUGAACUAUGCGUGGAUAGGGUGAAGCCAGAGGAAACUCUGGUGGAGGCUCGCAGCGGUUCUGACGUGCAAAUCGAUCGUCAAAUCUGCGCAUGGGGGCGAAAGACUAAUCGAACCAUCUAGUAGCUGGUACCGCGACU